RNAcentral lists this unclassified non-coding RNA (190 nucleotides) under fungal sp. RNAcentral describes it as "partial internal transcribed spacer region". The stretch from base 1 to 46 matches the Rfam family "Eukaryotic small subunit ribosomal RNA", at positions 1786 to 1831 of the family's 1831-position model. Lineage: Eukaryota; Fungi. The record is from RNAcentral.
AAGUCGUAACAAGGUAUCCGUAGGUGAACCUGCGGAUGGAUCAUUACCAAAGAUCUACUCUACGUUUUGUGAACUGUAUUGACUGUGGUCGGCGGUCUCUGACUGCCGGCCGUACUACACGUAAACCCUUUACUAAAGUAUGAGUUACAGAGAACUCCAACAACUUUUAGCAAUGGAUCUCUUGGCUCUC